CACCACCAUCACGUACACUACACAUCAGACCAGAUAUAUCUAUAUAUAUUCAUGUGUUCUUUUUCUAACUUCGCUCGGUGUUUCACUAUGGGAAUCACUUUGGGCGUGACCAACUGCGGAAGCUCCUAUGACACCACGUCUGUCUCUAACAGACAGGUCGACCUGUGACCAGGCUCCCCCUGCCUACAUCAGUCAGGUGGACCGUCAUAGGAACCCGCCACCGAACGCGAGAUUAGUGAACGGGAUUUUGUUGAGCUGACAUUCUUGAAAGUGGGAAUAGCGCCCACGUUGAGGCGAGCUAUUCCGAUUGGUCUAUUGCGUAUUCAUUUACAGCGGUAGGAGACGUCAAGUCUAAUUAGGUUCACGUGUCAAGGCGAACCUUCUAAGGGUUUAAUUACCUUUGAUCGUACAGCAGGCUACCGUGUUGUGACGUGUCGGUGAUCACAUCAUGUCGACGGCUGUUACCCCCGCCAAAGGGAAAGAGUUGAAGGCCAGGGAGGUUGAAGAAAAUCCCCUCUUCCCCGCCCAACAGUCCAGACUGCUGAACGAGUCGACCUCGCAGAUAGACAGCAACCUGCAUGAGGCCGAAGGGACUGAGAGGGACCUUUAUGAUGGGAAAAGGCUGCAGUGUCUAGGGGCCUGCAGCCGCCUAAGGGCUUGAAAGCCCACUCCACACGGGGUAUGGCGCUUUACUCAGGAGAGUUUCUGUUGGAGACAUUUGCUCGGCGGCAAGUUGGGCCACGCCACACACUUUCGUGCGGUUCUAUAGACUGGACGUGUCGGAGCCUUCCUUGGCACACGCAGUGCUGGGAGCCAGUGCAUCUGUACCCAUUGAAGGCUAUGAGGAAUAGCAGGGAUAUGGGUGCAUUCUGGGAGUGGGCUAUAUCUCCCAUAGUGAAACACAGAGCGAAGUUAGAAAAAGAACGAUGGGUUACUUAACGUAAACCCGUGUUCUUUGAUAACAGAGUGCUGUGUUUCACCAGCACUUCCCUCCUUGCACGGGUACGGGAAGAAAUCUUUCUUUAAUGACAUAGGUAGAGGUCUAUAGGUCAGAGACAGACCUGGUUUCAUAGGAGCUUCCGCAGUUGGUCACGCCCAAAGCGAUUCCCAUAGUGAAACACCUCACUCUGUUAUCAAAGAACCCGGGUUUACGUUAAGUAACCCAUCGUUCUGUGAUGUAAAGAUUCACGAUACUGAUCUCACGAUAUGAUUUUUCACGAUUUAUUUUUACAAAAUGAGUUGAGACAAAUUAGAAAUGAACAACUGCCCUUUUAUUAUUUCUCAAAUGCUGCACAUUUCUUUGUAAAAUAAAUACUGUAUAUAUUUUAUGUCAAAUGACAAAACUAAACUGCAAUUUUAAAACAAAUUCCAAAUCAAAUAAAAAAAGGAAUAAUGCAAAGUCUCUUUUAUAUAAACAAACUUAGACUUUGUGCUUUUCUUGGAUUUUUUACAUUUAAGAAAUAUCUUAAAAAGUGAAGACAUCAAGGACACAACCUUUGGCCUGUUUUUGAGUUUCUUUCUAGUAUCUUUGUGUGCAUCAUGUGUUUCUUUAGUUG
Molecule: long non-coding RNA, 1556 nt
Organism: Triplophysa rosa
Lineage: Eukaryota; Metazoa; Chordata; Actinopteri; Cypriniformes; Nemacheilidae
Exons: 3
Source: RefSeq, a predicted model, not a curated record